Molecule: ribosomal RNA, 497 nt
Filed under: uncultured bacterium
Lineage: Bacteria
Description: partial 16S ribosomal RNA
Rfam family: Bacterial small subunit ribosomal RNA
Source: RNAcentral
GAUGAACGCUGGCGGCGUGCCUAACACAUGCAAGUCGAGCGAACAGACGAGGAGGUUUCCUCCCUGAUGAUAGCGGCGGACGGGUGAGUAAAACGUGGAUAAACUCCUUAUUAACCUGCGAUAACUUCGGGGAAACGGAUUGAAAACCGGCUAAUAUACUCUAUCACACUGUUCCAUAGUAUAAGACGGUGUUCCAGUUCUUUACAGAUGGAUACGCGCCUCCUUAGCUAGUUGGUAAGGUAAAGGCUUACUAAGGCAACGACGCGUAGCCGACCUGAGAGGGUGAUCGGCCACACUGGAACGGAGACACGGUCCAGACUCCUACGGGAGGCAGCAGUAGGGAAUCUUCCGCAAUGGGCGAAAGCCUGACGGAGCAACGCCGCGUGAGUGAUGAAGGUCUUCGGAUCGUAAAACUCUGUUAUUAGGGAAGAACAAAUGUGUAAGUAACUAUGCACGUCUUGACGGUACCUAAUCAGAAAGCCACGGCUAACUACGUG